Molecule: ribosomal RNA, 414 nt
Filed under: uncultured microorganism
Description: bacterial SSU rRNA
Rfam family: Archaeal small subunit ribosomal RNA
Source: RNAcentral
GCGCAGCAGUCGAGAAUACUUCACACUGCGCGAAAGCGCGAUGAGGGAAUCCCAAGUGCUUGCACGUAAGUGUAAGCUGUUUCUCUGUCUAAAAAGCAGAGAGAGUAAGGGCUGGGUAAGACGGGUGCCAGCCGCCGCGGUAAUACCUGCAGCUCAAGUGGUGGCCGCUAUUAUUGGGCCUAAAACGUCCGUAGCCGGUCUAGUAAAUGCCUGGGUAAAUCGUGAGGCUUAACCUUACGAAUUCCGGGUAGACUGCUAGACUUGAGACCGGGAGAGGCUAGAGGUACUCCUGGGGUAGAGGUGAAAUUCUGUAAUCCUAGGGGACCGACCAGUGGCGAAGGCGUCUAGCUAGAACGGGUCUGACGGUGAGGGACGAAGCCCUGGGGCGCAAACCGGAUUAGAUACCCCCGUAGU